This 342-nucleotide RNase P RNA is filed under the name Lysobacterales bacterium. RNAcentral describes it as "RNase P RNA component class A". It matches the Rfam family "Bacterial RNase P class A". From Rfam's summary of the family: Ribonuclease P (RNase P) is a ubiquitous endoribonuclease, found in archaea, bacteria and eukarya as well as chloroplasts and mitochondria. Its best characterised activity is the generation of mature 5'-ends of tRNAs by cleaving the 5'-leader elements of precursor-tRNAs. Lineage: Bacteria; Pseudomonadati; Pseudomonadota; Gammaproteobacteria; Lysobacterales. The record is from RNAcentral.
AGAGUCGGCCAGACAAUCGCGCUCACUUCGGUGAGGGAGGAAAGUCCGGGCUCCAAAGGGCAGGGUGCCAGGUAACCCCUGGGGGGCGCGAGCCUACGGAAAGUGCAACAGAAAAAAUACCGCCCCACAGGUUGGGGUAAGGGUGAAAUGGUGCGGUAAGAGCGCACCGCGCAGGUGGUAACACGCUGUGGCAAGGUAAACCCCACUCGGAGCAAGACCAAAUAGGAAGACCAUGCCGCGGCCCGCGGUGUCUUCGGGUAGGUCGCUUGAGGUCGCUGGUGACAGCGGUCCCAGAUGAAUGAUUGUCCACGACAGAACCCGGCUUAUCGGCCGGCUCUGGCU